This 464-nucleotide long non-coding RNA is filed under the name Homo sapiens (human). RNAcentral's name for it is "novel transcript". Lineage: Eukaryota; Metazoa; Chordata; Mammalia; Primates; Hominidae. The record is from RNAcentral.
AAGGCAGAACAACAUGACUGAAGGCGAUGAGGAACAGCUGAUCACCUGUGGAAGUCAUUUGUCCUAAAUUGUCAUGGACAGACCAUGUGCCUUACAGCAAGAAAAUUCUGUGAAUAAACAGGAAGCCAGCCAGCCAGGGAAGAUGCUUUUGUGAUAUAUCCCAGCAUGCUGAUGACCCCAAGGAGGACCACUGGAUACCUAGCAAGAUUCUCAGCCUGAUUAGACCUCUAUUUUGAUACAUUCAUUCAACAUAUUUAUCAACUGCUUGCUAUGUGAAAAAUGCUAUCCUAAGUACUAGUCAUGGUCUGAUUGGACUCUGCAACUGAUAACUCAAGCGCUAUUGUGUAAGGAUACCAGAUUUAGAUGAGACUGUCAGCAGCCCUCUGGGUCCUCACUGCUCGCAGUGUCCACAGGCAGCAGCAGCAGAAUCUGGGAGUUUAUUAGAUAUGUAGGAUGGCAGAUCC